UCCCUGGUGGCUUAGUUGGUAAAGAAACUGCCUGCAAUGCAGGAAACCUGGGUUUGAUCCCUGGGUUGGGAG
Molecule: transfer RNA, 72 nt
Filed under: Ovis aries (sheep)
Lineage: Eukaryota; Metazoa; Chordata; Mammalia; Artiodactyla; Bovidae
Rfam family: tRNA
About the family: Transfer RNA (tRNA) molecules are approximately 80 nucleotides in length. Their secondary structure includes four short double-helical elements and three loops (D, anti-codon, and T loops).
Source: Rfam by way of RNAcentral